GAUAGGUCGGGUGUGUAAGCGUAGCGAUACGUUGAGCUAACCGAUACUAAUGAACCGUGAGGCUUAACCUUACAACGCCGAAGGUGUUU
Molecule: ribosomal RNA, 89 nt
Filed under: Klebsiella aerogenes
Lineage: Bacteria; Pseudomonadati; Pseudomonadota; Gammaproteobacteria; Enterobacterales; Enterobacteriaceae
Description: partial 23S ribosomal RNA
Source: RNAcentral